RNAcentral lists this ribosomal RNA (468 nucleotides) under uncultured bacterium. RNAcentral's name for it is "partial 16S ribosomal RNA". It matches the Rfam family "Bacterial small subunit ribosomal RNA", at positions 28 to 507 of the family's 1533-position model. The record is from RNAcentral.
GACGAACGCUGGCGGCGUGCUUAACACAUGCAAGUCGAACGGAAAGGCCCUGCUUUUUUGGGGUGCUCGAGUGGCGAUCGGGUGAGUAACACGUGAGUAACCUGCCCUUGACUUUGGUAUAACUUCAGGUAACUGGGGCUAAUACCAUACCGGAUCUCCUGCUGCAUGGUGGGCGUUGGAUCGUUUCGGCGGUUGGGGUUGGAUUCGCGGCUUAUCAGCUUGUUGGUUGGGUAGUGGCUUACCAAGGCUUUGACGGGUCGCCGGCAUGAGAGGGUGACCGGCCACAAGGGGGCUGAGAGACGGAGCAGACUGGUACGGGAGACAGUGGUGGGGAAUAUUGCACAAUGGGCGCAAGUCUGAUGCAGAAACGCCGCGUGCGGGAUGACGGCCUGCGGGUAGUAAAACGCAGUCGGCUGUGACGAAGCGUGAGUGACGGUAAUGAAUGAAGAAGCACCGGCUAACUACGUG